CACUGACCUCCAUACAAAACUCCCUCACUUGGUCUAUUUUCGUGGACAAAUUUUGGGCGGCGUAAACCCUUUCGCUACGCUUCUUCCUCUCGAAUGACCAAACGUCGCCCAUUUACCGUAUUAACUGCACUUGGGGUCAAAACUAAUGACGCAACCUGAGUAAUUACGCGCUUUAACGGAGAACGGACGCGACCACCUGUACUAAUUAGCUAUCUAGCGCCUACUCUGGAAGUGCAGUUCGUUGGAUGGAGGCACCCAGACCUGUAUGGAUCUAUUCAAAUCUGCUACACUUCCCAGGCAACCACAGCAGCAGGAUUGUUUUGAUUAAAAAUCAGCUUUCCCAAGGCAAAGAAGGGGGAUAUGCUGUGAAACCUGUGAAGACAGACCCAACAUACUGCUACGGAGAAGGGCUCCUGGAUCUCCUCUUUAACGAGGUCACCCUUGAUCGAGCACCGCAUAUGUGGAAGCUGUGCUAGCUGUACGUCCCAGGACCCCUGUCGGCCCAGUGUGAGAGGCCUGCGCUGUACGUCCCAGGACCCCUGUCGGCCCAGUGUGAGAGGCCUGCGCUGUACGUCCCAGGACCCCUGUCGGCCCAGUGUGAGAGGCCUGCGCUGUACAUCCCAGGACCCCUGCCGGCCCAGUGUGAGAGGCCUGCGCUGUACGUCCCAGGACCCCUGUCGGCCCAGUGUGAGAGGCCUGCGCUGUACGUCCCAGGACCCCUGUCGGCCCAGUGUGAGAGGCCUGCGCUGUACAUCCCAGGACCCCUGCCGGCCCAGUGUGAGAGGCCUGCGCUGUACGUCCCAGGACCCCUGUCGGUCCAGUGUGAGAGGCCUGCGCUGUACGUCCCAGGACCCCUGUCGGCCCAGUGUGAGAGGCCUGCGCUGUACGUCCCAGGACCCCUGUCGGCCCAGUGUGAGAGGCCUGCGCUGUACAUCCCAGGACCCCUGCCGGCCCAGUGUGAGAGGCCUGCGCUGUACGUCCCAGGACCCCUGUCGGCCCAGUGUGAGAGGCCUGCGCUGUACGUCCCAGGACCCCUGUCGGCCCAGUGUGAGAGGCCUGCGCUGUACAUCCCAGGACCCCUGCCGGCCCAGUGUGAGAGGCCUGCGCUGUACGUCCCAGGACCCCUGUCGGUCCAGUGUGAGAGGCCUGCGCUGUACGUCCCAGGACCCCUGUCGGCCCAGUGUGAGAGGCCUGCGCUGUACGUCCCAGGACCCCUGUCGGCCCAGUGUGAGAGGCCUGCGCUGUACGUCCCAGGACCCCUGCCGGCCCAGUGUGAGAGGCCUGCGCUGUACGUCCCAGGACCCCUGUCGGUCCAGUGUGAGAGGCCUGCGCUGUACGUCCCAGGACCCCUGUCGGCCCAGUGUGAGAGGCCUGCGCUGUACGUCCCAGGACCCCUGUCGGUCCAGUGUGAGAGGCCUGCGCUGUACGUCCCAGGACCCCUGUCGGUCCAGUGUGAGAGGCCUGCGCUGUACGUCCCAGGACCCCUGUCGGUCCAGUGUGAGAGGCCUAACGAGGAGGCGGCCAUAGCUGAUUUGUCUCCCACUUCAAUCUUGGGGGUGACUGAAGCCUGCUUGAUUCAAGCGGGGUAUACGGGUCCCCAUCAAUCUCUGUAGGUGGUUGAGUUUUCUAAAGUCAAAGUCAUAUCACGUAAACGUGAAUUACAUCACACUUUGUAUUGUUUCUUCAAGCAUUCGGACAGGAGAGCAGUGUUACAAAUUGUAUGAGUCAAGGGGUUCUGCACACUGUUGGGUGGCCGGUGCCUAUAUAAGGUAUAUGGCUCUAAUAUAUUUUUUUAAUGUCAAAUGAUGUCUCACCAUUAUUUCGCACCUUCAUUUAUGGUGAUCAAUAUUUUGGUUGUGCUGGCCUAAUUGUAAAUGAUCAAACUAAUGUCUGAUCAAUACAUACAAUUCUGAACAUGUUAUUUAUAAUGCUAAUGAAGAGGCACCAAUACAUUGUCCAGUACACUGAUUAUAUGCUGUUUUCAUAUACAUUCCCUUAUGGCUAAGGUGUCUUGAGCUUUACUAAUUCUUGUGAAGAAGUGUAUCAGUGAAAUGUAUUCUGUAAUUAGUUACAAAACAAUAGUCUGACUAAACUUCAUAUGGAGAAAAGGAAUGCUGUAGUCUAUGUUGGAAACAUAAGACUUUGUUAUUGGACUAAUAUGCAUAAACACAGUGCAACUGUACACCUAGAAUAUGUAAACAUGACACGUCAAGAACAUGAGCCAGUUCUGUUGGCCAUGAGAGCAUUUUGCAGAGAAAAUGGGUUGAGCCUUACAAUUUAGGUUAGGAUUGUUUACCUUGUUACCAGGCAACGACCACAAGGGCGUUUCAAAGAGCUCUCAGUCAAGGCGAGCUCAUGAAUAUAAGCUCUCCGCCCAGUCAGCCCCUGUUCUUUCAGGCUUCCUGACUGUGAGAGAAUGUACCAUUUCUUCAAUUCUGAGCAUUUUAAUGGUGUACAAAUAUUAUGGGUGAUGUUUUGGUCAUGUAAAGGCUAUUUUUACUUGGGGAAAUAGGAUGAUUAUGUGGGACGUUUUUGUAGAAAUAGGCGGGGUUUAGGGUCGUUGACACAAAGUCCUUUUUAAUAUAAAAAAACAGACAAUGCUGACAGAGAAUUUCUGAUUUCUUAAAGAAAAUAGUGAGGUAAUAAACAGUAUCUUUAUAAAUGAUUGUAAAGCAAUAAAUAAAGACUAUACACUGGAUUCUGAGUUAUUAACAAAAGGAUGAAAGUUCACAGUACACAUGGAGAAAUGCCCGUAAAAUGACUAGCCUACAUCCGAAGUCAUGUUUAAUUCAUGUGAAGGGACAGCCUAUAUCCAAAGUCAUGUUUAAUACAUGUGAAGGGACAGCCUAUAUCCGAAGUCAUGUUUAAUACAUGUGAAGGGACAGC
Molecule: long non-coding RNA, 2886 nt
Filed under: Salmo salar (Atlantic salmon)
Lineage: Eukaryota; Metazoa; Chordata; Actinopteri; Salmoniformes; Salmonidae
Description: lncRNA (ENSSSAG00000099601.1)
Source: RNAcentral